This 1073-nucleotide ribosomal RNA is filed under the name uncultured archaeon. RNAcentral's name for it is "bacterial SSU rRNA". It matches the Rfam family "Archaeal small subunit ribosomal RNA", at positions 378 to 1411 of the family's 1478-position model. The record is from RNAcentral.
ACUCCCAGUGCUCAAGCAUUGCUUGGGCUUUUGCCAAGUGCAUACAGCUUGGCGAAUAAGUGGUGGGUAAGACGGGUGCCAGCCGCCGCGGUAACACCUGCGCCACAAGUGGGGAUCGCUUUUAUUGGGCCUAAAGCGUUCGUAGCCGGAUGGGACAGUCUUGAGUGAAAUCGUUGCGCUUAACAAAACGACGUGCUCGAGAUACUACUCAUCUUGAGACCGGGAGGGGUUAGGGGUAUUCCUGAGGGAGCGGUAAAAUGCUAUAAUCUCAGGAGGACCACCCGUGGCGAAGGCGCCUAACUAGAACGGGUCUGACGGUGAGGAACGAAAGCUAGGGGAGCAAACCGGAUUAGAUACGAGAAAUCGUAGAUUGAUGUGAUUAGCGAUUCUCGCUGAUUACCCGAGUCGUCCUAGCCGUAAACGCUGUGAACUAGAUGUUGCCUAUCCUUCGUGGAUACGCAUUGUCGAGGCGAAGGUAUUAAGUUCACCGCCUGGGAAGUACCGGUCGCAAGGCUGAAACCUAAAGGAAUUGGCGGGAGAGCACCACAAGGGGUGCGGCGUGCGGUUCAAUCUAACUCUACGCAGAGAAUCUCACCAGCAGCGACGGCAGAAUGAAGGUCAGGCUAAAUGUCUUACCUAACGAGCCGAGAGGUAGUGCAUGGCCGUCGUCAGCUCGUGCCGUAAGGUGUCCUCUUAAGUGAGGUAACGAGCGAGACCCAUACCUAUAAUUGCUAGCGGGUUCUUCGGAAUGACCGAGCACAUUAUGGGGACUGCUGUGGAAACACAGAGGAAGGUGUGGGCUACGGUAGGUCUGUACGCUCCGAAUCUGCUGGGCUACACGCGCGCAACAAUGGCGAGGACAAUGGGAUGCAACGCCGAAAGGCGAAGCUAAACCUCGAAACCUCGUCUUAGUUUAGAUUGAGGGUUGUAACUCACCCUCAUGACAAUGGAAUCCCUAGUAAUCGGGCCUCAUCACAGCCCGGUGAAUAUGUCCCUGCUCUUUGCACACACCGCCCGUCAAACCAACCGAGUUGGAUUUAGGUGAGAAGUAGCUUUCAGUUACCUCGAAUCUA